This 368-nucleotide ribosomal RNA is filed under the name Salmonella enterica subsp. enterica serovar Kottbus. Its description in RNAcentral is "partial 23S ribosomal RNA". It matches the Rfam family "Bacterial large subunit ribosomal RNA", at positions 454 to 722 of the family's 2925-position model. The record is from RNAcentral. Lineage: Bacteria; Pseudomonadati; Pseudomonadota; Gammaproteobacteria; Enterobacterales; Enterobacteriaceae.
CAUCCUCCAAGGCUAAAUACUCCUGACUGACCGAUAGUGAACCAGUACCGUGAGGGAAAGGCGAAAAGAACCCCGGCGAGGGGAGUGAAAAAGAACCUGAAACCGUGUACGUACAAGCAGUGGGAGCCCCACCACUAAGCCAGUGGUGAACUCCACAUACGCAUCCUUUGCUGAAGGCAAUGGUUAACGGAGCGAAAGCGACGUUCAACCUCAAAAGAAGCAGAGGGGGCUUAGUGGUGGGGUGACUGCGUACCUUUUGUAUAAUGGGUCAGCGACUUAUAUUCUGUAGCAAGGUUAACCGAAUAGGGGAGCCGGAGGGAAACCGAGUCUUAAUUGGGCGUUAAGUUGCAGGGUAUAGACCCGAAACC